GUAAGGAAUAUUGGUCAAUGGACGAAAGUCUGAACCAGCCAUGCCGCGUGGAGGAUGAAGGUCCUCUGGAUUGUAAACUUCUUUUAUCUGGGACGAAAAAAGGUCUUUCUAGAUCGUCUGACGGUACCAGAUGAAUAAGCACCGGCUAACUCCGUGCCAGCAGCCGCGGUAAUACGGAGGGUGCAAGCGUUAUCCGGAUUCACUGGGUUUAAAGGGUGCGUAGGUGGGUUGGUAAGUCAGUGGUGAAAUCUUCGAGCUUAACUCGGAAACUGCCAUUGAUACUAUCUGUCUUGAAUAUUGUGGAGGUAAGCGGAAUAUGUCAUGUAGCGGUGAAAUGCUUAGAUAUGACAUAGAACACCUAUUGCGAAGGCAGCUUACUACGCAUAUAUUGACGCUGAGGCACGAAAGCGUGGGGAUCAAACAGGAUUAGAAACCCGAGUAGUCC
RNAcentral lists this ribosomal RNA (445 nucleotides) under uncultured bacterium. Its description in RNAcentral is "bacterial SSU rRNA". It matches the Rfam family "Bacterial small subunit ribosomal RNA", at positions 354 to 796 of the family's 1533-position model. The record is from RNAcentral.